GGGGCGUGAAGGGAGGAGAGAGUCCGGAGCGUGCAGGGUGUCCCGGCCAUGAGGGCGGCGCUGACGCUGUGGUUGGCCCUCAUUGGGGGCGCUGCGGUGACGGCGCUGCGGUGCCCCGACGGCGCCUCCGAGUGCCCCCAAAACACCACAUGCUGCGGCACCGCGAGCGGAGCCUGGGGGUGCUGCCCCAUGCCGGAGGCCGUGUGCUGCCGGGAUGAGGAGCACUGCUGUCCCCACUCCACCAGCUGUGAUUUGGAGCGCGGGCGCUGUGUGUCCCCUACGGGGGACGUCCCCAUGGCCACCAAAUUCCCGGCCUGGAAGAGACCGCCCGGUGCUGCGGCACAGCCCCGGCUCCGCGUCCCAGCAGUGGCGCUGCUCCGGGUGCAGUGUCCCGACAACAGCUCCGCGUGUCCCGACGGCGCCACGUGCUGCCAGCUGCCCUCGGGGCGCUACGGCUGCUGUCCCCUGCAGAACGCCGUGUGCUGCGGCGACGGGUGGCACUGCUGUCCCCAGGGCACCGCGUGUGACCUGCAGCGCUCCAUGUGCACCUCGGUGCGGGACGUGGCGCGCGUUGGUGACGUGAAGUGUGACGAUGAGAUGAGCUGUCCCGACGGGAACACGUGCUGCAGGCUGAGCUCCGGGCAGUGGGGGUGCUGCCCGCUGGAGCAGGCCGUGUGCUGCCCCGACCACAUCCACUGCUGCCCCCAGGGCUACACCUGCGACCCCCAGGGGGGGACGUGCCUGCAGGGGGGGGUCCGCCUGCCCUGGCUGAGGAAGACCCCGGCGCUGUGGGGUCGGGGUGGGGACGUGCGGUGCGACGACAGGACGAGCUGUCCCGAUGGGAGCACGUGCUGCAGGCUGAGCGGGGGCGCGUGGGGGUGCUGCCCUCUGGAGCAGGCUGUGUGCUGUAAGGACCACCAGCACUGCUGCCCCCAGGGCUACACCUGCGACAUCGCCACGCAGAGCUGCGAGAAGCUGUGACCCCCCCGGGGCUGUGACCCCCCCACCCCAAUAAAGGGUUUGUAGGAAAAAAAACCCAAAGGAUUUUGGGGGAGGAAGAGGCGGAGGCA
Molecule: long non-coding RNA, 1070 nt
Organism: Gallus gallus (chicken)
Lineage: Eukaryota; Metazoa; Chordata; Aves; Galliformes; Phasianidae
Gene: GRN
Product: granulin precursor
Exons: 8
Source: RefSeq, marked validated